RNAcentral lists this ribosomal RNA (1287 nucleotides) under metagenome. RNAcentral's name for it is "bacterial SSU rRNA". It matches the Rfam family "Bacterial small subunit ribosomal RNA", at positions 242 to 1520 of the family's 1533-position model. The record is from RNAcentral.
UAGCUAGUUGGUGAGGUAACGGCUUACCAAGGCGACGAUCUGUAGCGGGUCUGAGAGGAUGAUCCGCCACACUGGGACUGAGACACGGUCCAGACUCCUACGGGAGGCAGCAGUGGGGAAUUUUGGACAAUGGGGGCAACCCUGAUCCAGCCAUGCCGCGUUAGUGAAGAAGGCCUUCGGGUUGUAAAGCUCUUUCGGCCGGGAAGAAAUCGCAUGGGCCAAUACCCUGUGUGGAUGACGGUACCGGAAUAAGAAGCACCGGCUAACUACGUGCCAGCAGCCGCGGUAAUACGUAGGGUGCGAGCGUUAAUCGGAAUUACUGGGCGUAAAGCGUGCGCAGGCGGUUUUGUAAGACAGGCGUGAAAUCCCCGGGCUCAACCUGGGAACUGCGUUUGUGACUGCAAGGCUAGAGUACGGCAGAGGGGGGUGGAAUUCCACGUGUAGCAGUGAAAUGCGUAGAGAUGUGGAGGAACACCAAUGGCGAAGGCAGCCCCCUGGGUCGAUACUGACGCUCAUGCACGAAAGCGUGGGUAGCAAACAGGAUUAGAUACCCUGGUAGUCCACGCCCUAAACUAUGUCAACUAGGUGUUGGGUGGGUAAAACCAUUUAGUACCGUAGCUAACGCGUGAAGUUGACCGCCUGGGGGGUACGGCCGCAAGGUUAAAACUCAAAGGAAUUGACGGGGACCCGCACAAGCGGUGGAUGAUGUGGAUUAAUUCGAUGCAACGCGAAAAACCUUACCUACCCUUGACAUGCCAGGAACUUGCCAGAGAUGGCUUGGUGCCCGAAAGGGAGCCUGGACACAGGUGCUGCAUGGCUGUCGUCAGCUCGUGUCGUGAGAUGUUGGGUUAAGUCCCGCAACGAGCGCAACCCUUGUCGUUAAUUGCCAUCAUUUAGUUGGGCACUUUAGCGAGACUGCCGGUGACAAACCGGAGGAAGGUGGGGAUGACGUCAAGUCCUCAUGGCCCUUAUGGGUAGGGCUUCACACGUCAUACAAUGGUCGGUACAAAGGGUCGCCAAGCCGCGAGGUGGAGCCAAUCCCAGAAAGCCGAUCGUAGUCCGGAUUGCAGGCUGCAACUCGCCUGCAUGAAGUCGGAAUCGCUAGUAAUCGUGGAUCAGCAUGUCACGGUGAAUACGUUCCCGGGUCUUGUACACACCGCCCGUCACACCAUGGGAGCGGGUUCCGCCAGAAGUAGGUAGCCUAACCGCAAGGAGGGCGCUUACCACGGCGGGGUUCGUGACUGGGGUGAAGUCGUAACAAGGUAGCCGUAGGGGAACCUGCGGCUG